This 422-nucleotide long non-coding RNA is filed under the name Musa acuminata (dwarf banana). RNAcentral's name for it is "long non-coding RNA (MACU_LNC001840)". Lineage: Eukaryota; Viridiplantae; Streptophyta; Magnoliopsida; Zingiberales; Musaceae. The record is from RNAcentral.
GAGGAAGGGAUCCACGGCGAUCUCAAUCUGAUUAGCGACGAGAUUCUGAGGAUCACCGGAGUGGUUGAGCACGGGAUGUUCCUCGGAUUAGCGUCGUCGGUGAUCGUGGCCAGGAAGGAUGGGGUGGUGGUGAUGGACAAGUAGAUGAAGUUAAAUGGUAUUUGAGAACCAUACUUAAUUUGGACAAGGAGUGGUUGAGCACGGGAUGUUCCUUGGAUUAGCAUCGUCGGUGAUCGUGGCGAGGAAGGAUGGGGUGGUGGUGAUGGACAAGGAUAUGAAGUUAAAUGGUAUUUGAGAACCAUACUUAAUUUUUAGAUAAGCUAAUUAUAUAUUGCAUUUAUAUCAACAAAGGAAGCCACUUGAUUCAUAUCAUGAAUUCUUGAAAUCAGGAAUUGCGAUUAUUGUAGGAAGAGAAGAUGCUA